CCUGGCCUUGGGCCGCUCGGGGGAGCCAGUCGCUUGCGACGACGCUGCCUUGGGCGCUUAGCCCUUGACUAUCACCUUGACUACGUGCACCUUUUGUUGUUUCCUCGGCAGGUCAUCUGCCGCCAGGAACCCCCUAAACCUUUUUGCAAUAGCAUCUAAACUUCUGAAAACAAACCAAAUCAUUUA
This 186-nucleotide unclassified non-coding RNA is filed under the name uncultured fungus. RNAcentral describes it as "sequence contains ITS1, 5.8S rRNA gene". Lineage: Eukaryota; Fungi. The record is from RNAcentral.